RNAcentral lists this ribosomal RNA (507 nucleotides) under uncultured bacterium. Its description in RNAcentral is "bacterial SSU rRNA". It matches the Rfam family "Bacterial small subunit ribosomal RNA", at positions 29 to 524 of the family's 1533-position model. The record is from RNAcentral.
AGUGAACGCUGGCGGCAGGCCUAAUACAUGCAAGUCGAACGGCAGCACAGCAGAGCUUGCUCUGUGGGUGGCGAGUGGCGGACGGGUGAGGAAUACAUGGGAAUCUGCCCAGUCGUGGGGGAUAACGUAGGGAAACUUACGCUAAUACCGCAUGCGCCCUUCGGGGAAAGCCGGGGACCGUAAGGCCUGGCGCGAUUGGAUGAGCCCAUGUCGGAUUAGCUAGUUGGCGGGGUAAAGGCCCACCAAGGCGACGAUCCGUAGCUGGUCUGAGAGGAUGAUCAGCCACACUGGAACUGAGACACGGUCCAGACUCCUACGGGAGGCAGCAGUAGGGAAUAUUGGACAAUGGGCGCAAGCCUGAUCCAGCCAUGCCGCGUGAGUGAAGAAGGCCCUCGGGUUGUAAAGCUCUUUUGUCCGGAAAGAAAAGCGCCGGGUUAAUACCCCUGGUGUCCUGACGGUACCGGAAGAAUAAGCACCGGCUAACUUCGUGCCAGCAGCCGCGGUAAU